Molecule: ribosomal RNA, 492 nt
Filed under: uncultured bacterium
Lineage: Bacteria
Description: partial 16S ribosomal RNA
Rfam family: Bacterial small subunit ribosomal RNA
Source: RNAcentral
AGUGAACGCUGGCGGUAGGCCUAACACAUGCAAGUCGAACGGCAGCACAGUAAGAGCUUGCUCUUACGGGUGGCGAGUGGCGGACGGGUGAGGAAUACAUCGGAAUCUACUUUUUCGUGGGGGAUAACGUAGGGAAACUUACGCUAAUACCGCAUACGACCUACGGGUGAAAGCAGGGGAUCUUCGGACCUUGCGCGAUUGAAUGAGCCGAUGUCGGAUUAGCUAGUUGGCUGGGUAAAGGCCCACCAAGGCGACGAUCCGUAGCUGGUCUGAGAGGAUGAACAGCCAGCCUGGAACUGAGACACGGUCCAGACUCCUACGGGAGGCAGCAGUGGGGAAUAUUGGAGAAUGGGGGCAAGCCUGAUCCAGCCAUACCGCGUGGGUGAAGAAGGCCUUCGGGUUGUAAAGCCCUGUUGGUGGGAAAGAAAAGCAGCAGGUUAAUACCCCGCUGUUCUGACGGUACCCAAAGAAUAAGCACCGGCUAACUUCGUG